ACUCCUACGGGAGGCAGCAGUGGGGAAUUUUGGACAAUGGGCGAAAGCCUGAUCCAGCAAUGCCGCGUGAGUGAAGAAGGCCUUCGGGUUGUAAAGCUCUUUUGUCAGGGAAGAAACGGUGAGAGCUAAUAUCUUUUGCUAAUGACGGUACCUGAAGAAUAAGCACCGGCUAACUACGUGCCAGCAGCCGCGGUAAUACGUAGGGUGCAAGCGUUAAUCGGAAUUACUGGGCGUAAAGCGUGCGCAGGCGGUUUUGUAAGUCUGAUGUGAAAUCCCCGGGCUCAACCUGGGAAUUGCAUUGGAGACUGCAAGGCUAGAAUCUGGCAGAGGGGGGUAGAAUUCCACGUGUAGCAGUGAAAUGCGUAGAUAUGUGGAGGAACACCGAUGGCGAAGGCAGCCCCCUGGGUCAAGAUUGACGCUCAUGCACGAAAGCGUGGGGAGCAAACAGGAUUAGAUACCCUGGUAGUCCACGCCCUAAACGAUGUCUACUAGUUGUCGGGUCUUAAUUGACUUGGUAACGCAGCUAACGCGUGAAGUAGACCGCCUGGGGAGUACGGUCGCAAGAUUAAAACUCAAAGGAAUUGACGGGGACCUCCACAAGCGGUGGAGCAUGUGG
This 616-nucleotide ribosomal RNA is filed under the name uncultured bacterium. RNAcentral describes it as "bacterial SSU rRNA". It matches the Rfam family "Bacterial small subunit ribosomal RNA", at positions 335 to 944 of the family's 1533-position model. The record is from RNAcentral.